This 467-nucleotide ribosomal RNA is filed under the name uncultured bacterium. RNAcentral's name for it is "partial 16S ribosomal RNA". It matches the Rfam family "Bacterial small subunit ribosomal RNA", at positions 28 to 506 of the family's 1533-position model. The record is from RNAcentral.
GACGAACGCUGGCGGCGUGCUUAACACAUGCAAGUCGAACGGAAAGGCCCUGCUUUUGUGGGGUGCUCGAGUGGCGAACGGGUGAGUAACACGUGAGUAACCUGCCCUUGACUUUGGGAUAACUUCAGGAAACUGGGGCUAAUACCGGAUAGGAGCUCCUGCUGCAUGGUGGGGGUUGGAAAGUUUCGGCGGUUGGGGAUGGACUCGCGGCUUAUCAGCUUGUUGGUGGGGUAGUGGCUUACCAAGGCUUUGACGGGUAGCCGGCCUGAGAGGGUGACCGGCCACAUUGGGACUGAGAUACGGCCCAGACUCCUACGGGAGGCAGCAGUGGGGAAUAUUGCACAACGGGCGGAAGCCUGAUGCAGCAACGCCGCGUGCGGGAUGACGGCCUUCGGGUUGUAAACCGAUUUCGCCUGUGACGAAGCGUGAGUGACGGUAAUGGGUAAAGAAGCACCGGCUAACUACGU